Coregonus clupeaformis (lake whitefish) is the source of this 1682-nucleotide RNA transcript. It is a transcript of the gene named Fc receptor-like A, with no coding region annotated. The record is from RefSeq and is a predicted model, not a curated record. Lineage: Eukaryota; Metazoa; Chordata; Actinopteri; Salmoniformes; Salmonidae. The transcript is spliced from 11 exons.
AUCGCUUUCCUGGCACCCCAAGUGAGUGUUGCGGAUAGGAACCAGAUUAAUGACGGUUCAGGUUUCCCAAAUGAAAGCCCGUAGCACACAGCUUGGUCCACAUGAAAAUGUAGGACCACCAGGGACCAGACAUCUUACAAGCAGGAUGCUGAGGUUAUGAUGCCAGAGCCAGGUAAACUAUGGAAACUAUGGUUGUGAGCCAGAAUGAAGGAAGUCACUCUGAAUAGCUCAGGAAUGUCUCUCCUUCAUGUACUUUUGUUGAGUACACUGGUGGCCUAUCCAUCAUCAGCCCAGGCACAGCUGUCCUCUGUGGUACUGAAGGCUAACCCAUGCCUACUCCUGGUCCAGGGAGAGGUUCUGACCCUCACCUGCCUGGCUGGGCUGGUACCAGGGAACCAUAAUAACAGGGAACCUCCCCUACCGACCCCUGCACCUGCCCUGACAUACAGCAUUGUGAGAGAGAACGUGACUGUGGCCAGUGGGUCCCAUGUUCUGCAGAUAGACAAGAUUACUCAGAGCCAGUCUGGCAGAUACAGGUGUACUGUUACUGACCACACAGGUGCACAGAGACACAGCAGAGAGGUGCAGGUUACUGUGGAAAAGGUUCUACUGACGCCCACUCUGAGCGUGGAGCCAGGACGACAGGUGUACACUGAGGACACAGUCACCUUGGCGUGUCAGUUACCUGGCCACUCUGGGCUGGGCUGGCAGUUCUACUGGCACAAAGACAGGCAGGACACAGGCCCUGUGGAGCAGCUGUGGGCUAGUGCUGGAGGCGGUGGUGGAGGUGGGGCGGUCUACAGACUGUGGCGUGCCUCUGUCACACACACAGGCCAGUACUGGUGCAGAGCAGGGAGAGGACAGCCAGUCUUCUACACUCAAUACAGCCAGGCAGUCUCUGUUAAUGUCAUUGAGCGCUUCAAAUCAGUGACUUUGUCAGCAUCUCCUUCGACCGUGGUCAAAGAGGGCGGCGCUUUCAACCUCACCUGUGAGGUCCAGCUUAGCGACAGCAAACUGAACCAACAUCAUGGUAACCACGGUCUACAUAGUCACCCUGAUCCUGACCGUAACCAGACCACAGUGGUUGUAACAUUCUCCUUCCUGAGGGACGGCUGGCCGGUGGUCAGGGACUCUGUCAGUGGGCUGUACAGCGUGGCGAGGGCUUCUAGCUGUCACAUGGGGACCUACAGCUGUGUGGUCAGAGCAGGCAGGGCCAGGAGGAGCAGCCAGGAGAUCAGCAUCACACUAGACAACCUGUCUCUGAUACUGGUCACCUGCUUUGGUACCUUCCUGAUCCUCUCCGUGGCCCCGUUGGCAUUUUUUGUGAGACAAUACGUGAUGAGACGAUGGCAGCUCAGAGGCAGAGGACAAGGAGAAUUGCAGUGCAAUGAGCGCAGUACAAUACAGGGACCAAAUUGAGAGGGAGGACAGGUUUUGUCUGGAAGGGACCUGAAUCUAGCUGUCGCUUCGAGAUGGACAUCACCUGAGAACCUGGCUGGUCUAAACCCUUGGAUGACAGAGGUGCGUAUAAACGGGUGGGCCUGGGUGGGUGCCCACUGGGAGACAGGCCCACCCACUGGGAGACAGGCCAACCCACUGGGAGACAGGCCCGACCACUGGGAGACAGGCCCGCGGACUGGGAGACAGGCCCGCCCACUGGGAGACAGGCCCGCCCACUGGGA